GGGCACCUACGGGGGCCUCUCACAUCAGGGCUCUGCAAGGGGCCCGCCAAGCAAACGGAAGAAGCUA
Molecule: non-coding RNA, 67 nt
Organism: Loktanella sp. 1ANDIMAR09
Lineage: Bacteria; Pseudomonadati; Pseudomonadota; Alphaproteobacteria; Rhodobacterales; Roseobacteraceae
Source: Rfam